AGUGAGCGACCCAACAGCCUGCCCAUUGCCUGGGCACGGCACCAAUCCAAUCGUCAGUGGCUCGCCGGAUGU
This is a non-coding RNA of Tilletia controversa (dwarf bunt fungus), 72 nucleotides long. Lineage: Eukaryota; Fungi; Basidiomycota; Exobasidiomycetes; Tilletiales; Tilletiaceae. The record is from Rfam.